RNAcentral lists this non-coding RNA (23 nucleotides) under Rattus norvegicus (Norway rat). Lineage: Eukaryota; Metazoa; Chordata; Mammalia; Rodentia; Muridae. The record is from RNAcentral.
UUAAAUUACAUGUUUGCAAAAGU